RNAcentral lists this transfer RNA (64 nucleotides) under Stilicoderus aquilinus. RNAcentral describes it as "tRNA-Cys". Lineage: Eukaryota; Metazoa; Arthropoda; Insecta; Coleoptera; Staphylinidae. The record is from RNAcentral.
GGUCUUAUAAUCAAAUCUUAUGAUUUUAAAUUGCAAAUUUAAAAGUGGGUCCUCCCUAAGGCUU